GACGAACGCUGGCGGCGUGCUUAACACAUGCAAGUCGAACGGAAAGGCCCCUUUGGGGGUACUCGAGUGGCGAACGGGUGAGUAACACGUGAGUAACCUGCCCUUGACUUCGGGAUAACUUCAGGAAACUGGGGCUAAUACCGGAUAGGAAUCCUUGCUGCAUGGUGGGGGUUGGAAAGCUUCGGCGGUUUUGGAUGGACUCGCGGCUUAUCAGCUUGUUGGUGGGGUAGUGGCUUACCAAGGCUUUGACGGGUAGCCGGCCUGAGAGGGCGACCGGCCACAUUGGGACUGAGAUACGGCCCAGACUCCUACGGGAGGCAGCAGUGGGGAAUAUUGCACAAUGGGCGGAAGCCUGAUGCAGCAACGCCGCGUGCGGGAUGACGGCCUUCGGGUUGUAAACCGCUUUCAGCAGGGGCGAAGCUUGUGGUGACGGUACCUGCAGAAGAAGCACCGGCUAACUCCGUG
This 465-nucleotide ribosomal RNA is filed under the name uncultured bacterium. RNAcentral describes it as "partial 16S ribosomal RNA". It matches the Rfam family "Bacterial small subunit ribosomal RNA", at positions 28 to 507 of the family's 1533-position model. The record is from RNAcentral.